This 440-nucleotide ribosomal RNA is filed under the name uncultured bacterium. Its description in RNAcentral is "bacterial SSU rRNA". It matches the Rfam family "Bacterial small subunit ribosomal RNA", at positions 340 to 773 of the family's 1533-position model. The record is from RNAcentral.
UACGGAAGGCAGCAGUGGGGAAUAUUGCACAAUGGGCGAAAGCCUGAUGCAGCUAUGCCGCGUGUAUGAAGAAGGCCUUAGGGUUGUAAAGUACUUUCAUCGGGGAGGAAAAACAAAACUAAUAAUUUUAUUUCUUGACGUUACCCGAAAAAGAAGCACCGGCUAACUCCGUGCCAGCAGCCGCGGUAAUACGGAGGGUGCUAGCGUUAAUCAGAAUUACUGGGCGUAAAGAGCACGUAGGUGGUUUUUUUAAGUCAGAUGUGAAAUCCCUGGGCUUAACCUGGAACUGCAUUUUGAAACUGAAAUACUAGAGUAUCGUAGAGGGAGGUAGAAUUCUAGGUGUAGCGGUGAAAUGCGUAGAUAUCUGGAGGAAUACCUGUGGCGAAAGCGGCCUCCUAAACGAAUACUGACACUGAGGUGCGAAAGCGUGGGGAGCAAAC